GACGAACGCUGGCGGCGUGCUUAACACAUGCAAGUCGAACGGAAAGGCCCUGCUUUUGUGGGGUGCUCGAGUGGCGAACGGGUGAGUAACAAGUGAGUAACCUGCCCUUGACUUUGGGAUAACUUCAGGAAACUGGGGCUAAUACCGGAUAGGAGCUCCUGCUGCACGGUGGGGGUUGGAAAGUUUCGGCGGUUGGGGAUGGACUCGCGGCUUAUCAGCUCGUUGGUGGGGUAGUGGCUUACCAAGGGUUUGCCGGGUAGCCGGCCUGAGAGGGUGACCGGCCACCUUGCGACUGCGAUACGGCCCAGACUCCUACGGGAGGCAGCAGUGGGGAAUAUUGCACAAUGGGCCGAAGCCUGAUGCAACAACGCCGCGUGCGGGAUGACGGCCUUCGGGUUGUAAACCGCUUUCGCCUGUGACGAAGCGUGAGUGACGGUAAUGGGUAAAGAAGCACCGGCUAACUACGUG
Molecule: ribosomal RNA, 468 nt
Filed under: uncultured bacterium
Lineage: Bacteria
Description: partial 16S ribosomal RNA
Rfam family: Bacterial small subunit ribosomal RNA
Source: RNAcentral